Molecule: ribosomal RNA, 846 nt
Filed under: uncultured bacterium
Lineage: Bacteria
Description: SSU rRNA
Rfam family: Bacterial small subunit ribosomal RNA
Source: RNAcentral
AACGUAGGAACCGAGCGUUAUCCGGAUUCACUGGGCGUAAAGCGCCUGCAGGCUGUCUUGUAAGUUGGACGUGAAAUCUCCUGGCUUAACUGGGAGACGCCGUUCAAUACUGCAGGGCUUGAGGGCAGAAGAGGGAAGUGGAAUUCCCGGUGUAGUGGUGAAAUGCGUAGAUAUCGGGAGGAACACCAGUGGCGAAGGCGGCUUCCUGGUCUGUACCUGACGCUAAGAGGCGAAAGCUAGGGGAGCGAACGGGAUUAGAAACCCCGGUAGUCCUAGCUGUAAACGAUGGACGCUAGGUGUAGGUGGUCCUAACCCCAUCUGUGCCGAAGCCAACGCGUUAAGCGUCCCGCCUGGGGACUACGGUCGCAAGGCUAAAACUCAAAGGAAUUGACGGGGACCCGCACAAGCAGCGGAGCGUGUGGUUUAAUUCGAUGCUACACGAAGAACCUUACCCGGGUUUGACAUGCGAGUAGUAGUGAAGCGAAAGCGGAACGACCCUUCGGGGAGCUUGCACAGGUGCUGCAUGGCUGUCGUCAGCUCGUGCCGUGAGGUGUUGGGUUAAGUCCCCUAACGAGCGCAACCCUCGUCGUUAGUUAUAUGUGUCUAACGAGACUGCCGGUUUAAAACCGGAGGAAGGUGGGGACGACGUCAAGUCAGCAUGGCCUUUAUGUCCGGGGCUACACACACGCUACAAUGGCCGGUACAAUGGGUAGCCAACCCGCGAGGGGGAGCCAAUCCCACAAGGCCGGUCUCAGUUCGGAUUGGAGGCUGCAACUCGCCUCCAUGAAGCCGGAGUUGCUAGUAAACGCGCGUCAGCUAUAGUGCGUUGAAUACGUUCCCGGGUCU